RNAcentral lists this ribosomal RNA (406 nucleotides) under uncultured bacterium. RNAcentral's name for it is "partial 16S ribosomal RNA". It matches the Rfam family "Bacterial small subunit ribosomal RNA", at positions 30 to 526 of the family's 1533-position model. The record is from RNAcentral.
AUUGAACGCUGGCGGCAGGCCUAACACAUGCAAGUCGAACGAGUGGCGUACGGGUGAGUAAUGUCUGUGAAACUUCCUGAUGGAGGGGGAUAACUACUGGAAACUGUAGCUAAUACCGCAUACCAUCAGCGGUGGCCAUAUGGGAUUAGCGAGUUGGUGGGGUAACGGCUCACCAAGGCGACGAUCAGUAGCUGGUCUGAGAGGAUGACCAGCCACAUUGGAACUGAGACACGGUCCAGACUCCUACGGGAGGCAGCAGUGGGGAAUCUUGCACAAUGGGCGAAAGCCUGAGACAGCCAUGCCGCGUGUGUGAAGAAGGCCUUCGGGUUGUAAAGUACUUUCAGUGGGGAGGCGUUACCCGAAGAAGAAGCAACGGCUAACUCCGUGCCAGCAGCCGCGGUAAUAC